This 447-nucleotide long non-coding RNA is filed under the name Pongo abelii (Sumatran orangutan). Its description in RNAcentral is "lincRNA". Lineage: Eukaryota; Metazoa; Chordata; Mammalia; Primates; Hominidae. The record is from RNAcentral.
CAAGAAGCCCCAGGUAUUCCUAAUCCCAAUUGUUUAAGUCUUUCCAGUGUUAACCACCAGACAUGUGAUGGAUUAAGGACUCCAGAUUAUUCCAGUUCCCAGCUGUCUUAGUCAGGGUUCUCCGGAGAAGUUAUCACAUGAUUACAGAGGCUGGCAAGUCUGACAUCUGCAGGGUCGACCAGCAAGUCGGAGACCCAUGGAAGUUGAUGUUGCAGCUCAAGUCCAAAGGCAAUCUGCUGGCAGAAUCCUCUCUUCUGUUUCUUCCGUGUGUUUUUACUUAAGAAACUUAUUGGAUGAGCCCCACCCACAUUAUGGAGGGAAAUUGUCAAUGCUCUGGAUGCAAAUUGAUUUUUUCUUAGGAAUUUAGAGUUGCUGAGUUUUGCAUCAAGACUGAAAGAGGCCAAAAAGAGAGGCUGUGUGGUAGGACUGUGUGAUGACUCAUCCUAC